This 3605-nucleotide long non-coding RNA is filed under the name Homo sapiens (human). RNAcentral describes it as "HSALNT0192195". The record is from RNAcentral. Lineage: Eukaryota; Metazoa; Chordata; Mammalia; Primates; Hominidae.
CCUGUUUUUCCACUCAAAUGUUGCCUUAUGGCCUUCCCCACACCCCAUCCUGUACCCAUAAAAACCCCAGGCUUCACUGGCAGAACUGCAGUGUGGCAGAGCGGCAGAGAGGGAGAGAUGAGGCAGGCAGACAUCAGAGAGAAGCAGCUUGACUUCAAAGGCACAGCUUGAUGGCAGGACUUUGGAGAAGAGUUUGGCCGGGGACAGAGGAACUCCAGGGGAAGACUACCUUCCCACUCGAUCCACUUUCCAGCUCCCCAUCCUGCUGAGAGCCACUUCCACCACUCAAUAAAAUCCUCCACAUUCUCCACUCUUCAAUUUGUUUGUGCAACCUGAUUCUUCCUGGAUACCAGACAAGAACUCAGGUACCAAGAGGGUACAUGCAAAAGGAUAUCACCCUGACCCUCCACUGAGCUAUUAAACACUUAAGCCAUCCGUGAAUGGCAAAGCUAAAAGAGCACAUUGUAACACACCCACUCUGGGGCUCCGCAGGUUACAGGUACCCUACAAGAUACCACCAUGGGGCAGCACAGAGUUAUACUCCUGUUGGCACCCAGGAGCACUCGAUCUGGCCUCUGCACCUGCUCACCUGCAUGCUCCCCCUCCUGUGAAGGCUUGAGAGCUGCAGGCUGAGUAAAUGAGCCAACUUCUUCAUGAGUCCUGUGAAGAGAUCAAGGGAACUAUCUCGUUUCAGUGAGUCUUUGUCUAUUCGGGCUGCCAUAACAAAAUACCAUAGACUGGAUGGCUUAAACAACAUAAAUUUAUUUCUCAACGUAAUGGAGGCUGGAAAUUUCCUAUCAUGAUGCUGGGAAGCAGACCAGUGCAAUGGGACCAACAAGCCAUUAGGAUGGAAAAGGCCAUCUAGUGGUGGUUCAAAGCAAGGCCUCUGGAGUCUGGCUGCCUGGGUUUGAAUUCCAGCUCUGCCAUUUACUUAGCCUCCCUCUGUGGGAAUGAACCCACCUGCAAAAUGGUGGUGGUAGAGGUGUGGGCAGAAUAUCAGGAAAUGCUUCCCUCAGGAAUUGAUGUGCAUGAGGAAUCCUGGAGAAUAAGAAGGCAUGAAGUAGAGAUGAAAGAGAAUGUUUCACACAAAGGAAACAUAUGCAAGCAUCAACUCAACUCUAUGCCUACAGUUCUGGGGCAGAAGAACUGCCAAGGGAGAAAUUAUGCAUUGCCUGCCCCCAGUUCCCUCAGGAUACAUUACAUUAAGGAAGAAAUCAUUCUCAAAAUGUGGAAGCCAAAGCAAACUCCCAUUCUUGACUAGAAUAUUCAGCUUGCCAUUUACCAUUCCAUUCUGAGAGGCAAAAGUUCUUUCUCUCAGUCCCUUUUCCCCAGAAACUGUGAGAAGGUGCAGAGUUGUUGGAUGAAGAAGCCCGUUCAUCAAGGGCUCCUCCCUGUUUCCUGUGCUCUUUCUCAACCCAAACUCAGUGUGCCUCCUUGGCCUUAGCAGUUUCCUUCACUCCUGGACUGAUGGGUGGCACAUGAUUGUGCACUUAAAUACCACAGUACAAACGGGAGGAACACCUGGCUAAUAACUCACAGCCCCAAUUUCUCAUUCAGUACCUUAGCCCAUGUAACCCAGACUAGCUAGAGCAGUGAAGGUCCUCUCUCAUCCUUGAUUACAUGCAUCAUUUAUUACAUCCUAAACAGAGAUGAUUACAUUCCAAUUUCAACUGUCCUUAAAACAUUUCUUUAGGCUCACAGAAACAUCAGCAGCAGCUUUUCCUCAGCUAAUUAGAGACUAAUUGACUCUUUAGCACUGUUAUCAGCUGUGACAGAGCCCUUCCUGCCUCCUGUCUGCCAGCGUACUUGGGACCAUGCCUCUGUGAAGGACUUCAAUUUCUCUUUACAAGAAUCAACGUGGAGCAAACUCCAGUUGCCUACUGCCUAGCAUUCUUGCUAAGAUACGUAUGUAAAUAAAAUGUCUUUAUAUACCUGAGAAUUUAUCUAUGUAGUUCAAGAAUUGUCUUCUUUGCUUAGUUAUCCUACCUUUGAAGGUUUCUGCUUCCAAUUGUUGAGGUGAUGUUACAUCUUUCUGAGGAAGAAGAUGAUACCCUUUUUUGUCCUCCGUAAAAAAGCUUUGUGUGGUGUGGGGUGUGUGUGUGUGUGUCUGUGUGAGCAUUUUGAAUUAUGACCACUGCAUUUCAUGACUUCACUUACCUUGAAUUAUUCUUUUCUCUCAGAGGAUGGACUAAUUUAUUUUCUCCAUAGAGGAUCAGUGUGUUAAUUUCCUUCCUUUCCUCCAAAGCAUAUUCUGAAUGCUUUCACUGCUAGGCAUAGGACAAACAGUUAAAAUGAUAUAUUUUCUGCUCCUCCAGGUCAAAUAGAGGGAUGCAAAAGUUUUAAAAUUAAGUGUAAUAAAGUGCUAUCGAUGUUGUCAUAGGCAUCUGUACAGAGUAUAGUUGGGACAUAAUAAAAAGAUAGCGAUUUCCUGUGGAGGCAGGAUCAUAAAUAUUAAAGGACAACAUAGGAAAGUGUUGACAGGAAGAGAGAGGGAAGUUAGCUUUCCUGGAAGGGAGACUAGGGAGAGCAAAGUCCAGAUGGAGGGAACAACUUGAGAUGUUGUGGGAGUCACAGAAAGUCUGGAUAACUUGAAACCUGGGGUUAGAUGGAGUGCAGCAAAAUAUUAUGUUGAUGAAAUAGCCAGGGGAAGCCUCAUGGAGGAUUUGAAUGCCAUGCGAAAAUGUUGAGGGUUUCCUGUAAGAACAUCGGAUGGCCACAGAAGAGUUAUGAGCAGGGUUAGGAUACUGAUGCCAGGAAACUAAAAGGGCAGCUCAGAGGCCCUGAGCUUAGACAGUAGCAGUGGGACUGGAAGAAGAGGGAGUCAAAAGAAAUGAAAAAGGUAGAAUGAAUAUAACAAUGUUUAAGUGAAUUAAAAGGAGAGAGCUUCCUAGGAUGAUUUUUGGUUUUCAGCUGAGGGUUUCCUUCACCAAAAAGAAGUACUAAAAAAAAGGGAAGUUUUGACAGGGAAGUUCCAUUUUAGAUAAUUUCAUUUUGAGGGCUAGUAAAAUGUAUUUGGGGAGCGGCAAUAUUCACCAGGCAUCUGGAUAAGCAGGACUCGAACUCAGGAGAGAGAUCCUAGAAAUUAAUAUCUGGGCCUCAUCAGUAUAUUGGCAGUAUGGGAAGCCAUGGCCAUGCCCCUUGGAAAGAGAAUAGGUUGAAGAAAGCCCAAGGUCAGAGCUCUGAAUGAAGAAGACUAAUAUUUAAAGGAAAAAUAGAGAAGAAUCUGCAAAGAAGGCUGGGAGACAAUAGACAGUGAAUGGAAAGGAAAAACCAUAGGAAUAGUGGUUCUUUGGCUUCCAGAAAGCAACUCAGGUAUCAGGUGUUCCCUCUACCUCCUUGGAUCUUAUGACAUUUCUGUCUUUCCGUCUGUAUUGCCUUAAUCUCUCCUCUCUCAUGAUCUCUUCAUAUAUAGUUGUUAAUUCCCCAUAACAUUGGCUUCACAUGGUCAAACACUGUCUCUGGAGUUUCUUUAUAUACUGUGACCUUUCAGCUUCUAUCCCCAUGUUGUUUCUUCCCUCUCCCUUCUGCCAUUUCCCCUCUCCCCUCUCCUCUCCUCUCUUCUCUUCUUUUGAUGGAAUCUCGCUCAUGGUGCUCCACACCUGUAA